GAUGAACGCUGGCGGCGUGCCUAAUACAUGCAAGUCGAGCGAACAGAUGGGGAGCUUGCUCCUCUGACGUUAGCGGCGGACGGGUGAGUAACACGUGGAUAACCUACCUAUAAGACUUGGAUGACUUCGGCAAACAGGAGCGACUACCGCGUAAUAUAUUGAACCUCUUGGUUCAUUGGUCAAGGACGGUUUUGGUUUCAGUUAUGGAUGGACCCGCGCCGCAUUAGCUAGUUGGUAAGGUAACGGCUUACCAAGGCAGCGAUGAGUAGCCGACCUGAGAGGGUGAUCGGCCACACCGGAACGGAGACACGGUCCAGACUCCUACGGGAGGCAGCAGUAGGGAAUCUUCCGCAACGGGCGAAAGCCUGACGGAGCAACGCCGCGUGAGGGAUGAAGGUCUUCGGAUCGUAAAACUCUGUUAUUAGGGAAGAACAAAUGUGUAAGUAACUAUGCACGUCUUGACGGUACCUAAUCAGAAAGCCACGGCUAACUACGUG
Molecule: ribosomal RNA, 497 nt
Filed under: uncultured bacterium
Lineage: Bacteria
Description: partial 16S ribosomal RNA
Rfam family: Bacterial small subunit ribosomal RNA
Source: RNAcentral